RNAcentral lists this ribosomal RNA (497 nucleotides) under uncultured bacterium. RNAcentral describes it as "partial 16S ribosomal RNA". It matches the Rfam family "Bacterial small subunit ribosomal RNA", at positions 28 to 507 of the family's 1533-position model. The record is from RNAcentral.
GAUGAACGCUGGCGGCGUGCCUAAUACAUGCAAGUCGAGCGAACGGACGAGAAGCUUGCUUCUCUGAUGUUAGCGGCGGACGGGUGAGUAACACGUGGAUAACCUACCUAUAAGACUGGGAUAACUUCGGGAAACCGGAGCUAAUACCGUAUAAUAUUUUGAACCGCAUGGUUCAAAAGUGAAAGACGGUCUUGCUGUCACUUAUAGAUGUAUCCGCGCUGCAUGAGCUAGUUGGUAAGGUAACGGCUUACCAAGGCAACGAUGCAUAGCCGACCUGAGAGGGUGAGCGGCGACACGGGAACGGAGAAACAGACAAGACUGCUAAGGGAGGAAGCAGUAGGGAAUCUGACGCAAUGGGCGAAAGCCGGACGGGGCAACGCCGCGUGAGUGAUGAAGGUCUUAGGAUCGUAAAACUCUGUUAUUAGGGAAGAACAUAUGUGUAAGUAACUGUGCACAUCUUGACGGUACCUAAUCAGAAAGCCACGGCUAACUACGUG